AGGAGUUCUGGAGCUGCUGGCUGGAGAGGAGGGUGGACCAAGCUCUCCCCAGAAAGACAUCCUGAGAGGACUUGGCAGACUCCAGGUUCUUCAGUUUUGGAAUUCAAACUGGCUCUCCUUGCACCUCAGCCUGCAGAUGGCCUAUUGUGGGACCUUGUGAUCAUGAAGUCAGGGGCCCAGAAUGGAGGGAUCAGCCAGAGCCGAGGCAGAAGAACAUAAAUUGUGAAGAUUUCAUGGACAUUUAUCACUUCCCAAAAUUAAUACUUUUAUAAUUUCUUAUGCCUGUCUUUACUGCAAUCUCUGAACAUAAAUUGUGAAGAUUUCAUGGACAUUUAUCACUUCCCCAAUUAACACUCUUAUAAUUUCUUAUGCCCAUCUUUACUUUAAUCUCUUAAUCCUGUUAUCUUCAUAAGCUCAGAAUGUAAGUCACCUCAGGACUACUAUUGCACAAAUGGAUUGUAAAACAUGUGUGUUUGAACAAUAUGAAAUCAGUACACCCUGAAAAAGAACAGAAUAUCAGUGAUUUUCAGGGAACAAUGGAAGACAACUAUAAGGUCUGACUGCCUGCGGGGUCGGGCAGAAUAGAGCCAUAUUUUUCUUCUUGCAGUAAGCCUAUAGAAGGAUGUCCAAGUAGGAGAAAUAUCACGGAAUUCUUUUCCCAGCAUGGAAGAACCCUGGGGAAGGA
Molecule: small RNA, 685 nt
Filed under: Pan troglodytes (chimpanzee)
Lineage: Eukaryota; Metazoa; Chordata; Mammalia; Primates; Hominidae
Description: processed transcript
Source: RNAcentral